Molecule: non-coding RNA, 1478 nt
Organism: Podarcis lilfordi (Lilford's wall lizard)
Lineage: Eukaryota; Metazoa; Chordata; Lepidosauria; Squamata; Lacertidae
Source: the annotation of a GenBank genome assembly
CUCCCAGCCAUCAUGAACUCCCUUUCCUUUUAGUAUUACUGUCCAUGGGAUCUCACCCAGCACUUCCCUAAGUUUUAUGAAGUCGGCUUUCUUAAAGUCAAGAAAUUGAGUCCUAGUAUGCUUGGCUGCUCCUUUCCGCUGUAUAGUAAACUUCAGAAGAGCAUGAUCACUCACGCCUAAUGAUCCUUCCACUUCUACCCCACUAACCAGGUCAUCAACAUUGGUUAGGACCAGAUCUAAAAUGGCUGUUUCUCUUGUUGCUUCUCCCACUUUCUGGACAAUGAAGUUGUCUGCAAGGCCAGUGAGGAAUCUGUUUGACCUUAUGCUCUUGGCUGAGUUUGACAUCCAACAAAUAUCCGGGUAAUUGAAGUCCCCCAUUACUACUAUCUCCCUUCCUUUUGCAUGCUUGGCCAUCUGUUCCAGGAAGGCAUCAUCUAUGUCCUCCGUUUGGCUUGGGGAUCUAUAGUAAACUCCCACAAUGAGGUCACUGUUAUUCUUCUCUCCUUAAUUUUGACCCAAAUGCUCUCACUUUGGCUUUGAGGUUCUAAAUCUUGGAUCUCUUCACAGGUAUACACAUCCCUGACAUAUAACGCCACUCCUCCUCCUUUCUUGUCUGGUCUGUUUCUCUGAAAUAGAUUGUAUCCCUCCAUUAUUACAUUCCAACCGUGGGACUUAUCCCACCAGGUAUCAGUGAUGCCCAUUAUGUCAUAUUUAGUUUGCUGUACCAAGAGCUCAAGCUCAUCUUGUUUAUUUCCCAUGCUUUGCGCAUUAGUGUACAGACAUUGAAGUCCAUUAAUCAUUCCCCCGUAUCUCUUAUUUAAGGAUUUUUUCCUCCCACCACUAGGUCUGCGUGCUGUUUGCUCCAUUUGGUCUAUGACAUUUGGAUGAUCAUCUUCAUCAAUUGAUAGACUCCUACCUUCAGGAGCACUGUCUCCCUCCCCCACAUUAGUCAGUUUAAAGCCCUCCUGAUGAGGUUUCUGAGAUUUUUGGCAAAAACAUUCCUCCCAACCGUUGUGAGGUGCAGCCCAUCGCUUGCCAGAAGUCCAUCUUCAAGAAACUGCAGUCCGUGAUCUAAGAAUCCAAACCGUUCCUGUUUACACCAUUUGCGAAGCCAGCUGUUCACUUCCACUAUUUUCCCUCUCUCCCUGGGCCACGUCGUUCAACUGGGAGGACAGAUGAGAUGACAAUUUGUGCAUUUAAUUGCUUCAAUUUCCUGCCCAGAGCCUCGUAGUCUCUUUUGAUCUUCUGGAGGCUAUUGCUUGCAGUGUCAUUGGUUCCAACAUGAACCAAGAGGAAGGGGUAUUUGUCAGUGGGCUUUAUGAUUCCUUGCAGUCGUUCAGUUACAUCUUGGAUCUUAGCCCCGGGGAGACAGCACACUUCCCGAGACAUCUUGUCAGGCCCACAGAUCACUGCUUCUGUUCCCCUCAGUAGAGAAUCCCCUAUCACCACUACACGCCUCCUCUUAGGUUUGGUCGGGG